UCUGGUUCUUCAGUAAAAAUUACUUAUAGAUCAGUAUGAAAUCAAUUACAACAAUGCAAUCAUCAAUAAUAAUUCUAGCAAAAAUUUGAUUUGCUAAAAAAUAAGUCGAACAAUGAAAUUGGAACACUUGUAACAAGUACAUAAAAGAUAUUGAGGACUAGAGGCCGUUAAACAAUUCAUAUAUGUGAAUAGAACCCCAUAUAUGUGACGCCCCCAAAAUUAGGUAUACAUCACCCAUCUUGAGUCGCCAGAUACAUGGUACAGAAUUCAAAUACAACUUAAUAAUACAACUGUCGUGUACAAUACGACAAAACAUAAACUGUGAGUUUGAAUACAAAUAUUGUCUACUANNNN
Molecule: long non-coding RNA, 354 nt
Filed under: Panax ginseng (ginseng)
Lineage: Eukaryota; Viridiplantae; Streptophyta; Magnoliopsida; Apiales; Araliaceae
Description: long non-coding RNA (PGIN_LNC017324)
Source: RNAcentral